This 497-nucleotide ribosomal RNA is filed under the name uncultured bacterium. RNAcentral describes it as "partial 16S ribosomal RNA". It matches the Rfam family "Bacterial small subunit ribosomal RNA", at positions 28 to 507 of the family's 1533-position model. The record is from RNAcentral.
GAUGAACGCUGGCGGCGUGCCUAAUACAUGCAAGUCGAGCGAACGGACGAGAAGCUUUCUUCUCUGCUGUUAGCGGCGGACGGGUGAGUAACACGUAUAUACCCUACCUAUAAGACUGGGAUAACUUCGGGAACCCUGAGCUCAUACCGGACAAUAUUUUGAACCGCAUGGUUCAACAGUGAAAGACGUUCUUGCUGUCACUUAUAGAUGGAUCCGAGCUGCAUUAGCUAGUUGGUACGGUAACGGCUUACCAAGGCAACGAUGCAUAGCCGACCUGAGAGGAUGAUCGGCCACACUGGAACUGAGACACGGUCCAGACUCCUACGGGAGGCAGCAGUAGGGAAUAUUCGGCAAUGGGCGAAAGCCUGACCGAGCAACGCCGCGUGAGUGAUGAAGGUCUUCGGAUCGUAAAGCUCUGUUAGUAGGGAGGAACAGAUGUGUAUGUAAAUGUGCACAUCUUGACGGUACCUACAGAGAAAGCCACGGCUAACUUCGUG